CAACGAGCGCAACCCCUGCAUUCAGUUGCCAUCGGGUAAUGCCGGGCACUCUGGAAGGACUGCCGGCGACAAGCCGGAGGAAGGUGGGGAUGACGUCAAGUCAUCAUGGCCCUUAUGUCCAGGGCGACACACGUGCUACAAUGGCCGGCACAGCGGGAAGCGGAGGGGCGACCCUGAGCGGAUCCCUUGAAAGCCGGUCCCAGUUCGGAUUGCAGUCUGCAACUCGACUGCAUGAAGUUGGAAUCGCUAGUAAUCGCGGAUCAGCCAAGCCGCGGUGAAUACGUUCCCGGGCCUU
This 295-nucleotide ribosomal RNA is filed under the name uncultured Thermovirga sp. RNAcentral's name for it is "partial 16S ribosomal RNA". It matches the Rfam family "Bacterial small subunit ribosomal RNA", at positions 1090 to 1382 of the family's 1533-position model. The record is from RNAcentral. Lineage: Bacteria; Thermotogati; Synergistota; Synergistia; Synergistales; Thermovirgaceae.